RNAcentral lists this long non-coding RNA (812 nucleotides) under Malus domestica (apple). RNAcentral describes it as "long non-coding RNA (MDOM_LNC015629)". Lineage: Eukaryota; Viridiplantae; Streptophyta; Magnoliopsida; Rosales; Rosaceae. The record is from RNAcentral.
UAAACAUAUUUUUUAUUAUUGAUUGAAUUUUUUCUGAUGAAUAUUGUAACGUAUCUUGUUUAUAUAUCCCAUAAGAUUUAAUUACGUAUCCAUUUUUUCUUAGAUUUUGGCUAAUUUAGUACAUAUGCAUUGAUAAUUAUACCUCAAAUUAAUUUGCAGAUUAAUGGAAGUGUUGAGGAAGGAUAAACUGAGAUUGGUGAGUGAUGAUGCAAUUGGAGUAGCAUAUAAUUUAACAAUUGAACGUUAGACGAUCAAAGUAAAAUACAUUGCUCACGUCAUUUUAUCAAAAAAUUUCAGCCUUCAACUAGAUUGGUAACGUAAUUUGAAAAAUAUAAAAUUGAAAAAAUAUAAAACUAAACGACGAAAGUGAAACACGACAUGCACUACAUAUUUAAGCUAGAUAUCCACAAGGCACUCUUGAUUAUUGAUGUUUGCAGCUAGACAACUCAUCACCAAAGAAGAAACCAAAGCAGCGAGCAUGGUUUGUUGGGCAUGAAAACCUCUAACUUGUAGUACUACGUUUGUGUUCUAUCUAUUCACAACAUAAGAUUUCAUAUAAUUAAAAUGCCACGAGCACAUGUUCGCUGUUGACAAUUUGUUUUGCAUUAAUCGCUCUAAUUUCAAUAGUAAUGCCAAGAACUAUUCAAUUUCCAAUGCUUAUUUGCAUGAACGUCUAACUGACAUGUGUGGGUCAAUCUCAUAAAUAUCCAUAAAAAAGGUCACGAUUAGUGUAUUAGCCAAAUUUUUUCUGUCACAAAUACCCUAAUCAUCAACUUUUGGUCACGUUCUUUUGUGCCAAAGAUACCAUUGUC